CCUAAAUUCCCAAAUUGAAUUAGAAACCCUAAUUCCCAAAUCCCAGAAACCCUAACCUUAAUGUUUCCCUUUCCUCAGCUUCUGAACGCAGCCUCCACCCCCGUUUCUUCCAAAACGCAAUACACACACAAAACAAAGAAAGAAACGGAAACAAAGAGGAAAGAGAGAGGGAAGAGCUGCUGCCCUAUUGCCGCCGCAAGGAGCCCGUGCCACCAUCGUCGUCAUCCUCGUGAACUGCAGCGUCGCCGUUCAACCUCGUCCCGCCGUCACCACCGUUGCCCUGGAGCUCACCUGCCGUCGUCGUUGAGGGGCCAGCAGAGAGAGAGAACGAACGCGGGUCAGGGUCGCCACCAAGGAGAGGAGCUGUGCUCCACGCCGCCGUCGCCGCCAGUCCACAACCACCACCGCAAGGGUUUCGUCGCCGUCAUUCCAGUGUCGCCGUUCGUGCCCUUCGUAGCCGUCGCCGUCGCCGAGCCGUUGCAUCGCCGGACAUCAUCGCUGGAGGACCGAAUGGAGUAGCUAGCCGGUUCUGCUUCUGCCUCUGGUUUCUGAAAUCCGAGAAGACGCAACCGCCGCUGCUGGAACUGUUAUUGUUGGCCUGGCCCUGUUUUGGCUCUACUCUGAAUUGUUACUGCUGCUGUUUGGCUAAUGCUGAAGCUUUCCACCAUUACUGGAGCUGCUCAAAACCACCAUGGUUGCUACCCUGGAAAUAAAAUGAGUGCUGGAAAUUGUUACUGAAGCUGCCCAAGAACACUGUGUCUGCUGCCAAGGGGACAAAACGGAUGUUAGAACUGCCAACGGAGCUGCUGGGUUUAGUGAUUUCUGUGAGUUUCGACUUUGAGUGACACAAGUUCGAAGACUCCGUUUGAAGCUGCAGGCGAUUAUAGAUCUUAUUUAUGAGUUAAGUUUAUGACUUGAGUUAUUUUCAUAGAAGUUCCCUCGCUCUUAUUGCUUAACAUUUUUAUUUUAUACAGAGGGAUAUGAUUUGUAUGUGAGUUUUAUUUGAAAUCUUUUGUAUGACAGAUAUUAUUAUUAAUGAUUAUGUGAUUAUUAUUACUUGGUGAUGCUUGCUA
Molecule: long non-coding RNA, 1073 nt
Organism: Arachis duranensis
Lineage: Eukaryota; Viridiplantae; Streptophyta; Magnoliopsida; Fabales; Fabaceae
Exons: 2
Source: RefSeq, a predicted model, not a curated record